GAUUUGAAAGCCCAUGGCUUAACCAUGGAGGGUGAUUGGAAACUGAUGGACUUGAGUGCAGAAGAGGAAGGUGGAAUUCAACGUGUAGCGGUGAAAUGCGUAGAUAUGUUGAGGAACACCGGUGGCGAAGGCGGCCUUCUGGUCUGUAACUGACGCUGAGACACGAAAGCGUGGGUAGCAAACAGGAUUAGAUACCCUGGUAGUCCACGCCGUAAACGAUGAGUACUAAGUGUUGGGGGAAACCUCGGUGCUGAAGUUAACGCAUUAAGUACUCCGCCUGGGAAGUACGGUCGCAAGACUGAAACUCAAAGGAAUUGACGGGGACCCGCACAAGCGGUGGAGCAUGUGGUUUAAUUCGACGCAACGCGAAGAACCUUACCAGGCCUUGACAUCCCAAUGACCGGUAUAGAGAUAUACCUUUCCUUUUGGACAUUGGAGACAGGUGGUGCAUGGUUGUCGUCAGCUCGUGUCGUGAGAUGUUGGGUUAAGUCCCGCAACGAGCGCAACCCUUGUCGUUAGUUACUAACAGUAAGAUGAGGACUCUAACGAGACUGCCAGUGAUAAACUGGAGGAAGGUGGGGAUGACGUCAAAUCAUCAUGCCCCUUAUGGCCUGGGCUACACACGUGCUACAAUGGCUAGAACAAAGAGAAGCGAAGCGGAGACGUGGAGCAAACCUCAAAAAACUAGUCUCAGUUCAGAUUGUAGUCUGCAACUCGACUACAUGAAGUCGGAAUCGCUAGUAAUCGCGAAUCAGCAUGUCGCGGUGAAUACGUUCCCGGGUCUUGUACACACCGCCCGUCACACCAUGAGAGUUUGUAACACCCGAAGCCGGUGGCCUAACCAUUUAUGGAGGGAGCCGUCUAAGGUGGGACAGAUGAUUGGGGUGAAGUCGUAACAAGGUAACC
This 906-nucleotide ribosomal RNA is filed under the name bacterium enrichment culture clone PCP14. Its description in RNAcentral is "bacterial SSU rRNA". It matches the Rfam family "Bacterial small subunit ribosomal RNA", at positions 591 to 1501 of the family's 1533-position model. The record is from RNAcentral.